This 1632-nucleotide long non-coding RNA is filed under the name Sus scrofa (pig). RNAcentral describes it as "lncRNA (ENSSSCG00005010458.1)". Lineage: Eukaryota; Metazoa; Chordata; Mammalia; Artiodactyla; Suidae. The record is from RNAcentral.
AAAGCAAGGCUCCUUACUCAUUGGGAACAACUGGACUAUGGAGUACAGUUUACAUCUUCACAGAAGUUUUUCACAAUUUCUCCAAUUAUUCUAUACUUCCUGGCAAGUUUCUAUACGAAGUUAUGAUCCAACUCACUUCAUCCUAAACACAGCUUCUCUCCUGAGUGUGCUGAUUCCCAAAAUGCCACAGCUACAUGGUGUUCAGGUCUUUGGAAUUAAUAAUAAGUACUGAAAAGUUUUGAAACUGAACACAAAUUUUUACAGCCACUGAGUUUUCUGUAAGGAAGGAGUGAUUAGUAAACUGCACUGUUUCUGUAAUAAUAUGAAAUGAAAGGUAUUUACAUUGGAGGGCCAAUUGCUGGUUCUUCAUGUGUGGUUUGAAGUGCAGAUUUUUACAAGAAGAUGCCUCUGUUUAAUGCAUCUAGUAUCUCUCUGAAGAGAGGCUUCAUAGGCAGGCUGGGCAGGCCCAGGUUCUAAGUUAAAUGACUAUAAAGUAAGGGUGUAGUAGAUAAAUACAAAGAAAUAAGAGAUUUGUAAGCAACUAGGUCCAGCUUAGCUUAUAAUGAAAGGGCACUAUAUCAGGAGCAGAAAAUUUUCAAUCAUUCAGUCAUGAUCAUUUAGGCAAACUUAUGUGUAAACCAGAAUCAUCUUUUUACAAGUUUAUUAUAGAUUGUUUUUAUUACCAUACAUAUUCCUCUUGUGUUAAUAUUAAAAAGGUAUAUACCCUCUUGUUUUAUACAAACCAAUUUCUACCUUAUUAGUGUGUUUUUUCGGUUUUGAACAUUGUGUUGAGAGAUGAUUCAUUUUUACAUUUAUUAGGUUACUGAGUUCGUGAAGGUCCUUCAUGACAUGACUGAUAAUAGAAGAUAGGCAUCUUAGAAGCAGCCUCUUGAGUUGGCCUCCUAAUUUUGGAACAGAGUGGGUUUUGCUGCCUUUCCAGAUACAAGGCUGCUAAAUCAAUUAAGAAAACAAUUUAUUUCUCAGUUGAAGUAUAUGGUAACAUAAAGGUCUCUGCUUAUUUGGUUGAGCAAUCUUAUUGUUGAAGUCUGCCAUUUAGAAAACGAAAUAUAAAAUGGACAACCACAUAGCCAAAAUGUGGUCUGGCGGAAACUGCUUUUCUAGCAAUAGUAUCAAAGUAAAUAAUGGAGUCCUUUUUUUUUUAACAGGUCUGUAGUAAAAGAUAACAUCAGUUUUUCUUAGUCCUUCUGUUCUCAGUCCCACAUUUUGCCCAUCAAUACAUGAGUCAUUGUAGAUAACCCAAAAUGGUAACUAUUUCCAAAGCAGCAACCAUAUUGAAUUCUCGUGACUUAGAGAAGCUUCCUGUAGUUGCUGACAUUAAUUGCAAGAAAUAACUACUACUUUGAGAAGUAAAUAUCAAGAAAAGUUCUGAUGUGGGAUGAAACUGAAAAACCUAGUAACAUUUGUAUGAACAAUUGAGUGAAAAGAAUUAUAAAGCCAACUUAAUCAGUUUGUUUCCAGCUGACUUUUGGGGGUAAUGAUCAUUGUUUUGUAUUUCAAAAGUAUUGAGUUUAGAAAUCAGUUGUAUAAUAAUGCCUUUGUAUGUCUGUCUUUUCUUAUGUAUUUUUAAAUAACGAGUAAUCUAUACUUUAAUAAAAUUUUUCUUUGGUGUAA